GAGAGUGUAGCUCAUUGGUAGAGCACUUGCUUGGCACACUUGCGGCCCUGGGUUCAAUCCCCAUGCACAAUCU
This 73-nucleotide transfer RNA is filed under the name Heterocephalus glaber (naked mole-rat). It matches the Rfam family "tRNA". From Rfam's summary of the family: Transfer RNA (tRNA) molecules are approximately 80 nucleotides in length. Their secondary structure includes four short double-helical elements and three loops (D, anti-codon, and T loops). Lineage: Eukaryota; Metazoa; Chordata; Mammalia; Rodentia; Bathyergidae. The record is from Rfam by way of RNAcentral.